This 329-nucleotide ribosomal RNA is filed under the name uncultured bacterium. RNAcentral describes it as "bacterial SSU rRNA". It matches the Rfam family "Bacterial small subunit ribosomal RNA", at positions 568 to 898 of the family's 1533-position model. The record is from RNAcentral.
UGCGCAGGCGGUUUUGUAAGUUUGUCGUGAAAUCCCGGGCUCAACCUGGGAAUGGCGAUGAAGACUGCAAGGCUAGAAUCUGGCAGAGGGGGGUAGAAUUCCACGUGUAGCAGUGAAAUGCGUAGAGAUGUGGAGGAACACCGAUGGCGAAGGCAGCCCCCUGGGUCAAGAUUGACGCUCAUGCACGAAAGCGUGGGGAGCAAACAGGAUUAGAUACCCUGGUAGUCCACGCCCUAAACGAUGUCUACUAGUUGUCGGGUUUUAAUUAACUUGGUAACGCAGCUAACGCGUGAAGUAGACCGCCUGGGGAGUACGGUCGCAAGAUUAAA